This is a long non-coding RNA of Herpailurus yagouaroundi (jaguarundi), 606 nucleotides long. RefSeq lists it as uncharacterized. The transcript has 2 exons. The record is from RefSeq and is a predicted model, not a curated record. NCBI's taxonomy places the organism in Eukaryota, Metazoa, Chordata, Mammalia, Carnivora, Felidae.
UUCCCCCAUUGUAACUGUUAGCCUUGGCACCCCCGGAGCCCUCAGCGAGGUAGAAAAACAGAUGGCCUGUAGGAGCAGGCAGUCAGGAGAAGACAGCACAGAACUAGAUGAAAUGGCCAAGCUGGGACUCUCGGGGAUACAUUGUGGAGACAGUGUCCAAUCAGUUUCUGAAGAGAGGCUAUGCCUGCAGCCCAUGACUGGACUGGUCAGCUCACUGCUGACCAGAAACAAGUCUGGGAACAUCCCCUCUCCCUGGGCACCAGCAAACUCAUGAGGCAGGGGUCAUAGGACACGGUAGCAAGAAGUGUGUCUCAGCUGACCUGUGAAUGAGCAAACACCAGACGUCCACCCAUGUCUGAUCUUCUGUGCUGACCUUGGUGACUGGAAAUGACACAACCCAAUUUUUCUGGCGACUCCACUGAACCCCUGAUCUUUUCCUUCAUGUGACAAAUCACACAGCAGAUAUUUUUUCUGAGUACAGAUAGCUGCUCUGAUUGAGAACAAGCAUGAGUUUGGUUAUCUGCCUUCUCCUGUACAUAAGGCCAUUUAUAGGUUCCUCAUCUCCCUUCCAAGGUCCAAAUAAACCUUCGAGUAAUUGUAGCCUCA